Molecule: ribosomal RNA, 496 nt
Filed under: uncultured bacterium
Lineage: Bacteria
Description: partial 16S ribosomal RNA
Rfam family: Bacterial small subunit ribosomal RNA
Source: RNAcentral
GAUGAACGCUGGCGGCGUGCCUAAUACAUGCAAGUCGAGCGAACGGAUGAGAAGCUUGCUUCUCUGAUGUUAGCGGCGGACGGGUGAGUAACACGUGGAUAACCUACCUAUAAGACUGGGAUAACUUCGGGAAACCGGAGCUAAUACCGGAUAAUAUUUUGAACCGCAUGGUUCAAAAGUGAAAGACGGUCUUGCUGUCACUUAUAGAUGGAUCCGCGCUGCAUUAGCUAGUUGGUAAGGUAACGGCUACCAAGGCAACGAUGCAUAGCCGACCUGAGAGGGUGAUCGGCCACACUGGAACUGAGACACGGUCCAGACUCCUACGGGAGGCAGCAGUAGGGAAUCUUCCGCAAUGGGCGAAAGCCUGACGGAGCAACGCCGCGUGAGUGAUGAAGGUCUUCGGAUCGUAAAACUCUGUUAUUAGGGAAGAACAUAUGUGUAAGUAACUGUGCACAUCUUGACGGUACCUAAUCAGAAAGCCACGGCUAACUACGUG